Molecule: ribosomal RNA, 675 nt
Filed under: uncultured bacterium
Lineage: Bacteria
Description: bacterial SSU rRNA
Rfam family: Bacterial small subunit ribosomal RNA
Source: RNAcentral
AGAGUUUGAUCAUGGCUCAGAAUGAACGCUGGCGGCGUGCUUAACACAUGCAAGUCGAACGAGAAAGCCUUGGCUUGCCAGGGCGAGUAAAGUGGCGCACGGGUGAGUAACGCGUGGGUAAUCUGCCCUUGAAUCCGGGAUAACCCUUUGAAAGGGGGGCUAAUACCGGAUGACAUCUUUAUGUUUUUGGACAUUUAGAUCAAAGGUGGCCUCUACAAGUAAGCUACUGUUUGGGGAUGAGCCCGCGUACCAUUAGCUAGUUGGUAGGGUAAUGGCCUACCAAGGCCGCGAUGGUUAGCUGGUCUGAGAGGAUGAUCAGCCACACUGGAACUGACACACGGUCCAGACUCCUACGGGAGGCAGCAGUGAGGAACUUUGCGCAAUGGGGGCAACCCUGACGCAGCAACGCCGCGUGAGUGAUGAAGGCUUUCGGGUCGUAAAGCUCUGUCAAGUGGGAAGAACCUACCUGUGAUUAAUAAUUACAGGUACUGACGGUACCACUGAAGGAAGCACCGGCUAACUCCGUGCCAGCAGCCGCGGUAAUACGGGGGGUGCAAGCGUUAUUCGGAUUUACUGGGCGUAAAGGGCGCGCAGGCGGUUUUGUAAGUUGGAUGUGAAAGCCCGGGGCUCAACCCCGGAAGAGCAUUCGAUACUGCGAGACUUGAGUAUGGGAGA